Homo sapiens (human) is the source of this 1192-nucleotide long non-coding RNA. RefSeq lists it as uncharacterized. Lineage: Eukaryota; Metazoa; Chordata; Mammalia; Primates; Hominidae. The transcript is spliced from 2 exons. The record is from RefSeq and is a predicted model, not a curated record.
AGCUGGGUGUGGUGGCACACUCCUAUAGUCCUCAGGAGCCUGCGGUAGGAGGACUGUUUUGAGCCCAAGAGUUCGAGGCUGUAAUAAGCUAUGAUCACACCACUGCACUCCAGCCUAUGUGACAAAGUAAGACCUUGUCUCUAAAAAAAGGGGGUAACAAUCAUCAUACUAAGUGCCCAGUACAAUGACUGAAAAUAGACCUAAACUAACUUACAUCAUAAUAAAAUUUUAGAACACAAUGGAAAAAGAUUCUAAAAGCUACUAGAGAAAAAAAAUGAGGUCAUAUACAAGAAAUCAGGAGUAAGAAUGCUUCAAACUUCCCAACAGCAAUACUGGAAUUGAGAAUACGUUGGAGCAAUACUUCACAUUUUUGAAGUAAAAUGAUCUCCAAACCAGAAUUCUAUACCCAGCCAAACUACCAAUGAGGAAGCUACCAGAGGAUGUGCUUCACCCAAACAAGGGAGUAAACCAAGAAGAGGGAAACAGAGAACACUGGACUUAAGAAAUCCAACAAUGAGAAGCAAAGGGAAUCUCCUGGAUGAUGAUAAAGAGAGAGCCCAGGAUGAAAGCUGUAUGCCAGGGAAAGUCCUGAUUAGACCAUGUGACAAGUCUUCAGGAAAGACUGCUUCUGGAUGAUAAAAUGAACUGAAUACCUGUUAAGAGACUUGGGGGGUCAAAUUUGCAAUAAGUACCAAACAAAGAAGAUUAAAAAAUGAUAAGUCCCAAGGGAAACAAUAUGUUGUAAAGAAAAAGUAGCUAUAGUUUGUUCAUGACAUAACUGUAACUUGCCUUGUACAUGAUAAUAUAAACACCGAAUCUUCCUCACUUUGUGAAAGAACAAUAUUGGGCAAAUGCGCAGGUUUUGGAAAGUUCCAUGUGUAGGGGGAUGGAGGGAGAAAUUAGCAAAAUCCUCCUUUUCUAUAGCUAAUACCUAUAAAGUGCUACAACACCCAGACAGGAUACUUCUUUGUUGCUUUCAUUAUAAUAUCCUUGGGUAUUGCUGUUGGCUAUUUCUUAAUACUACUUAAAUAUUCACAAGUGUACGACUUGUUUUCCCAACCUAACUAUAAGCUCUUUGAUAGUUAAUGCUUCUCUAUAUUAUCUGUAGUGGCUGGCAUAGUAUGCUACGCAUAGUAUGUGGUCAGUUUGAGAAAUAUUAGUUGAAUAAAAUAAUAGUGUUGGAACAAAUAAA